This 287-nucleotide small nuclear RNA is filed under the name Echinops telfairi (small Madagascar hedgehog). Its description in RNAcentral is "7SK RNA (ENSETEG00000024073.1)". It matches the Rfam family "7SK RNA". From Rfam's summary of the family: 7SK was discovered as an abundant small nuclear RNA in the mid-70s but a possible function has only recently been suggested. Two independent studies have found that 7SK RNA binds the CDK9/cyclin T complex (known as elongation factor P-TEFb). Lineage: Eukaryota; Metazoa; Chordata; Mammalia; Afrosoricida; Tenrecidae. The record is from RNAcentral.
GAAUGGGAAGGAGGUCUGACUACGACACCUGUCACGCUGUUGAUCACCAAGGUUGAUUCAGCUGUCUAGCUGGGUGUGCGCUUCACCCCUCAUGACUUCCAGUAAGCCCCUCGAGAGGCUGCCCACUGUGUGGGAGAGAGUGUCCUUUCCCCACCGCAGGAGUAGCUGCGCUCCCGCUAGAACCUCCGCCCAACUCACGAGGUCCUUUUGUUGGAGACUGUAGGGGAGUCCAGCUUCUAAGACGCCACAUCCAAGUGAGGUGCUGCAUGUGGCAGCCUGCUUGUCUU